Symphalangus syndactylus (siamang) is the source of this 2865-nucleotide long non-coding RNA. RefSeq lists it as uncharacterized. NCBI's taxonomy places the organism in Eukaryota, Metazoa, Chordata, Mammalia, Primates, Hylobatidae. The record is from RefSeq and is a predicted model, not a curated record.
GUGACUCAAGCUACCACAUGUUGAUUGUGAUGAAAUGCUAGCUGAGGCAUAUUCCCUGGGAGCUAAGGGGUGCUACACUUCACCACUGUGGCAGUAAAGAUGACUCCGAAGAAUGGCUUGGGAUGGAUCCUUUCAAAUGAACUUAAGCAGGGGUCUCCAACCACAGGGCCACAGAGCUGGAGGUGAGCAGCAGCUGGAUCUACCAUGAAAUACUUCAGAAUCCAGGAAGAGAGACUGACUGGGCAACGUGUUAUUCAGGGGUUGUGGAAAAGGAAAGUGGUAUAAAGUAAAUGACACAGUGACAGAAGAAUUCGACCUAAAUAAUGAGUUCCUGGAGUGUGAAUGCUUCGGUGAAGAAUAUAGACCAAAAAUUUAUGAUCAAGGGGGGUCUGAUGAGAAUGCUGGGGAUCACCAAAGAAGACUCGAGUCAGCUUUGUACAGCAGGAAGCUGAGGACUUCUUUCCGUAAGUUUCUUUUCACUUGUGAGUACAAAAUAUCUGAGACAGGUCCUCAAUGUUUGGAAAGUUUAUUUUGCCAAGGUUAUGGACAUGACAGCCUAUGGAGUUCCUGAGGACAUGCUCCCAAGAUGGUUGGGGUACAGUUUGCUUUUAUACAUUGUUGCGAAUUGUGAGACAUCAAUCAAUAUGUUUAAGAUGUACAUUGGUUUUGUCCAGAAAGGUGGGACAACUGGAAGCAUGGGAGGGGGCUUCCAGGUCAUAAGUAGAUUAAGACAAAUGGUUGCAUUCUCUUGAGUCUCUGAUUAGCCUUUUUCUGAAUACACAAUUUACAUGUGAGAAGAGGGUAAAAGAAUCUUCACUCAUGCCUUAGUCUGGCUUAGUGAAAUGAUAGAGCAGAAGAAACAGUGAGAUGUGCAUUUGUCUCAGGUGAGCAGAGAGAUGGCAUUGUGCUCUGUUCAUCCUUUGCCCACAAGGAAAUUCCCUAAGGGCAAAUGGUGAAGGAGGUAUGUAGUUCCUUAUCUUUGUAGCCAUCUUAUUUAGUAAUAAAUUGGGAGCAAGUUUGCUUGAUGCAGUUCCCAGCUGUCUUCCCUUUGGAUUAGUGAAGAUUUAUUUUAUUUCCUUCUAUAAACUUGCUCUGUGAUUUAGUUAGUGUUAGUGUGAUAUUUGAGAAUACAGUAUUUGGGAUUUGAAGAUAAUUAGCUAAGCUAGAUAGAAAUUCCUAAAAUAAGUCUAAAAUUAAACAAAUACCUUUUCUUUAUUAUUGCUUCCUGGUCAUUAUUUCCUUGGCAAUAACUUACUUUGUAUUUAGAAACAUGCACAUAAGUUAGUUCCUUCUAGAAUCGAGAUUUUAAAAAAGUUUACACUUGAGGUUCUUUUAAACAUGUUGGCAUCAUUUAUUGAAUUACACUUCAUGUCCAAAACAUAGCACUAUAUCAACACUCUCAGAACGCUGUUGCUUUUUAAAGACCCUGUUGUCAGUGAAUUUACCUUUCAAUAAAUUGAAUCAGGAAAGUAUAUAAUUUACUUUUUCAUGUAAAACUGUGUUUAAGUCUGGUUUAUCAAGUUUGAAAACUUUGCUCAAUAAUUAUUAUAAGACUUUGAAUGUGUGGCUCUAAAAUGAGUUUAUUUCACUGCUCUUGAAUGGUCAUAAUGGCUGGAAAAGAUACCUCACAGUAACAUGUAGGAAGAAUUUAUUUUCCUGCUUCAUAAGUUACGGUACUCAGUUUUAAAUCCCAUAUGCCAGUUAAGUUAAAAUUUGUCCUGCAAAUUUUUAAUUUUUUAUAAUGUCACUCAGUUCUCCAAACUAAUUGAAAGAUACUAACUUUUUAAUUAUUUAAUGAAAACAUUAUAAUUCUAUAUACUUGAUGAGGUACAGUUUGAUGUUUUGAUACACAUACACAUUGUAUCAUGAUCAAACAAUUUAAGUGUAAUGCCCUGUUCAUGUGAGUUUGGCAAGUUUUAAAACUACUAAAACAAUAGCCACUUUCUGCUAGACAAAGUUUUCUAAUCCUGUCUAGUCCCAUCUUCACCAGCAAUUUUGUGUCAGUCAUCUCCUUGGUCCCAUGGGCCUAAUUAUGCCUGGAUGUCUGUUCUAACCAAGCUGAUUUUAAAAGGCAAGAAGAACGACUAUCUGGAGAAAAUGCCUGUUGGAAUAUACCAGGUAAGAAUCAUUUGAAAAAUUCUAAAGGGGAGAAUUCAGGUAGAUGUCAGAGUGUACCUGGUAGAUCCAGAGGCACUCCCGCUGGUCUUUAUCUGGAUGAGUUAUAGGCUGCAGAGAUAGCUGUAGAGCUAGUGCCAGGGAGUACUAAGGACACAGAUGUGAAUGCACACUCGAGAUUGGCCAGCACAAUCACUGAGCUGCUGUGUGGUGUGAGAUGACAGCAAUAAACAGAGGCAUGGGGAGUAGGCAGUCAGGAAAUACAUUGAUGAAAUUAACUUAUCUGGCGAGAAGAACAAGUGAACGCUUGUAAUCAUUGGGUAAUGAUUAUGACAGACAUUAUUUAUUGUAUACCUCCUCUGAGCUACAUGCUUUAAGCAAAUCUUCAAUUCUUAAAAGACUCAUGGAGUGGUGGGUUGUUAUUUCCAUUUUUCGGAUGGAAAAACUGCAGUUCAGAAAAGAAGCAAAAAGCCAGUGUCAUAGAGCAUGCAUUUAAAUUCAGAACUAUAUACCCAGCCUAGACUUUAUAUACUAAACAAAGCUCAAAAGCAAGAUGCAAGGAAUAUGAAUAUAUAUAUAUAUAUAUAUGGCUGAGUGCAGUGGCUCACACCUGUAAUCCCACCACUUUGGGAGGCUGAAGUUGAGGCGGAAAGACUGCUAGAGGCCAGGAGUUGGAGAUGGAGUUGGGAAAAAGAUAGCCAGUUUUGGUGGUGUGUGCCUACAGUGCCAGCUACUCCAGAGGCUUAGGUG